CGGGCGGACGGGUGAGUAACGCGUGGGUAACCUGCCUCAUACAGGGGGAUAACAGUUAGAAAUGACUGCUAAUACCGCAUAAGACCACAGCACUGCAUGGUGCAGUGGUAAAAACUCCGGUGGUAUGAGAUGGACCCGCGUCUGAUUAGUUAGUUGGCGGGGUAACGGCCCACCAAGGCGACGAUCAGUAGCCGGCCUGAGAGGGUGACCGGCCACAUUGGGACUGAGACACGGCCCAAACUCCUACGGGAGGCAGCAG
This 259-nucleotide ribosomal RNA is filed under the name uncultured bacterium. RNAcentral describes it as "partial 16S ribosomal RNA". It matches the Rfam family "Bacterial small subunit ribosomal RNA", at positions 95 to 354 of the family's 1533-position model. The record is from RNAcentral.